CCAUCAUUAAGUUGGGCACUCUAAGUUGACUGCCGGUGACAAACCGGAGGAAGGUGGGGAUGACGUCAAAUCAUCAUGCCCCUUAUGAUUUGGGCUACACACGUGCUACAAUGGACAAUACAAAGGGUAGCGAAACCGCGAGGUCAAGCAAAUCCCAUAAAGUUGUUCUCAGUUCGGAUUGUAGUCUGCAACUCGACUAUAUGAAGCUGGAAUCGCUAGUAAUCGUAGAUCAGCAUGCUACGGUGAAUACGUUCCCGGGUCUUGUACACACCGCCCGUCACACCACGAGAGUUUGUAACACCCGAAGCCGGUGGAGUAACCAUUUGGAGCUAGCCGUCGAAGGUGGGACAAAUGAUUGGGGUGAAGUCGUAACAAGGUAGCCGUAUCGGAAGGUGCGGCUGGAUCACCUCCUUU
RNAcentral lists this ribosomal RNA (414 nucleotides) under Staphylococcus epidermidis. Its description in RNAcentral is "bacterial SSU rRNA". It matches the Rfam family "Bacterial small subunit ribosomal RNA", at positions 1118 to 1533 of the family's 1533-position model. The record is from RNAcentral. Lineage: Bacteria; Bacillati; Bacillota; Bacilli; Caryophanales; Staphylococcaceae.